UAGAGAAAGUUUGCCCUGUGUCUUCUC
RNAcentral lists this small RNA (27 nucleotides) under Bombyx mori (domestic silkworm). Its description in RNAcentral is "ovarian small RNA-21985". The record is from RNAcentral. Lineage: Eukaryota; Metazoa; Arthropoda; Insecta; Lepidoptera; Bombycidae.